RNAcentral lists this transfer RNA (76 nucleotides) under Clostridia bacterium. RNAcentral describes it as "tRNA-Lys". It matches the Rfam family "tRNA". From Rfam's summary of the family: Transfer RNA (tRNA) molecules are approximately 80 nucleotides in length. Their secondary structure includes four short double-helical elements and three loops (D, anti-codon, and T loops). Lineage: Bacteria; Bacillati; Bacillota; Clostridia. The record is from RNAcentral.
GGAUUUGUAGCUCAGCUGGCAGAGCAGGUGACUCUUAAUCACAAGGUCCGGGGUUCGAUCCCCCGCAGAUCCACCA